UUGAGAGCCGGACAAGUACAUAUAGGAAAGUCCCUGUGAGCUCUCUGUGGACUAGGCACCCUGUCAUGUAUGUGAAAGUCCUGUGUGAGCUUCCUUGGGGGAGCCGGGCACCGACAGAGGGAUUUUUGAGGUCAUGUCCAAUCCUUGAGAGUAAAGGAUGCUAGCAAAGAAAGAAACUCUCAAAAACAGUCCGUGGGGAAUAUUUAUUUGCAUGAACCCCGAGACGGACAAG
This 232-nucleotide long non-coding RNA is filed under the name Manihot esculenta (cassava). RNAcentral's name for it is "long non-coding RNA (MESC_LNC008771)". Lineage: Eukaryota; Viridiplantae; Streptophyta; Magnoliopsida; Malpighiales; Euphorbiaceae. The record is from RNAcentral.